GAUGAACGCUGGCGGCGUGCUUAACACAUGCAAGUCGAACGGAGAACACUCGCUGAUGCGAGCUUGCUCAAAUCUUGAGUGUUCUUAGUGGCGGACGGGUGAGUAACGCGUGGGUAACCUGCCGUAUACAGGGGGACAACAGUUGGAAACGACUGCUAAUACCGCAUAAGCGCACAGGACCGCAUGGUCUGGUGUGAAAAACUCCGGUGGUAUACGAUGGACCCGCGUCUGAUUAGCUAGUUGGUGAGGUAACGGCCCACCAAGGCGACGAUCAGUAGCCGGCCUGAGAGGGUGAACGGCCACAUUGGGACUGAGACACGGCCCAAACUCCUACGGGAGGCAGCAGUGGGGAAUAUUGGACAAUGGGGGGAACCCUGAUCCAGCGACGCCGCGUGAGGGAAGACGGUCUUCGGAUUGUAAACCUAAGUUAUCAGGGACGAUUAUGACGGUACCUGAAGAGAAAGCUCCGGCUAACUACGUGCCAGCAGCCGCGGU
RNAcentral lists this ribosomal RNA (495 nucleotides) under uncultured bacterium. RNAcentral's name for it is "bacterial SSU rRNA". It matches the Rfam family "Bacterial small subunit ribosomal RNA", at positions 28 to 521 of the family's 1533-position model. The record is from RNAcentral.